Ribosomal RNA from Capsicum annuum, 119 nucleotides. The record is from RefSeq and is a predicted model, not a curated record. NCBI's taxonomy places the organism in Eukaryota, Viridiplantae, Streptophyta, Magnoliopsida, Solanales, Solanaceae.
GGAUGCGAUCAUAGCAGCACUAACGCUCUGGAUCUCAUCAGAACUCCGAAGUUAUGCGUGCUUGGGCGAGAGUAUUACUAGGAUGGGAGACCCCCUGGGAAGUCUUCGUGUUGUAUCCC